CACGGGGGGAGCAAGCGUUGUUCGGAAUUACUGGGCGUAAAGGGUGUCUAGGCGGUCGGGUAAGUGAGAUGUGAAAUGCCCCGGCUCACCCGGGGACCUGCAUUUCAUACUGCUCGGCUCGAGUACGGGAGAGGAUGAGGGAAUUCCUGGUGUAGCGGUGAAAUGCGUAGAUAUCAGGAGGAACACCGGUGGCGAAAGCGCUCAUCUGGCCCGAUACUGACGCUGAAGCACGAAAGCUAGGGGAGCAAACGGG
This 253-nucleotide ribosomal RNA is filed under the name uncultured bacterium. RNAcentral's name for it is "partial 16S ribosomal RNA". It matches the Rfam family "Bacterial small subunit ribosomal RNA", at positions 524 to 776 of the family's 1533-position model. The record is from RNAcentral.